RNAcentral lists this ribosomal RNA (551 nucleotides) under uncultured bacterium. Its description in RNAcentral is "bacterial SSU rRNA". It matches the Rfam family "Bacterial small subunit ribosomal RNA", at positions 355 to 896 of the family's 1533-position model. The record is from RNAcentral.
UAGGGAAUCUUCCACAAUGGACGCAAGUCUGAUGGAGCAACGCCGCGUGAGUGAAGAAGGGUUUCGGCUCGUAAAGCUCUGUUGGUAGUGAAGAAAGAUAGAGGUAGUAACUGGCCUUUAUUUGACGGUAAUUACUUAGAAAGUCACGGCUAACUACGUGCCAGCAGCCGCGGUAAUACGUAGGUGGCAAGCGUUGUCCGGAUUUAUUGGGCGUAAAGCGAGUGCAGGCGGUUCAAUAAGUCUGAUGUGAAAGCCUUCGGCUCAACCGGAGAAUUGCAUCAGAAACUGUUGAACUUGAGUGCAGAAGAGGAGAGUGGAACUCCAUGUGUAGCGGUGGAAUGCGUAGAUAUAUGGAAGAACACCAGUGGCGAAGGCGGCUCUCUGGUCUGCAACUGACGCUGAGGCUCGAAAGCAUGGGUAGCGAACAGGAUUAGAUACCCUGGUAGUCCAUGCCGUAAACGAUGAGUGCUAAGUGUUGGGAGGUUUCCGCCUCUCAGUGCUGCAGCUAACGCAUUAAGCACUCCGCCUGGGGGAGUACGACCGCAAGGNUG